This is a long non-coding RNA of Scomber japonicus (chub mackerel), 412 nucleotides long. RefSeq lists it as uncharacterized. The record is from RefSeq and is a predicted model, not a curated record. The transcript is spliced from 3 exons. NCBI's taxonomy places the organism in Eukaryota, Metazoa, Chordata, Actinopteri, Scombriformes, Scombridae.
GAAUUUCUUAGUCGGCCAAAUGGUGACAUCAGAUUCUUGAAAGAUGGGCAGUAUCUCAUUCUUCCUAAUGGGCAAAAUGGAUACUACCUCCAGGUCCAGCUGACAAUGAUGUGCCUGGGACUGCAGAGCUGCAAGCUUGUUAUCUGGACACCAAAUGAGCACAUGGAAUUUGACAUAUCAUAUGACAAAGAAUUUACAGACACACACAUGACACACCUCCAAAAUUUUUACUUUACACACAUGCUUCCAAAAUUAGUCGAUGAUUUUGUUGCUAAGAAAAUUAAGCUCUGCCCCAAAUACCAGAAUCUGUUAAAAAUACAGUAAGCAGAUGACAGAUGUAGAGAGAGAGAGAGAGAGAGGAUUUAAGUUUUGUUUUAUUAAAAACAUAAAACACAAUCAAUUACAAUCUGAC